GGAUACUGGUAAUCAAGCUAGCCAGUGCGGGGGUCGAUAUGGAUUAGGGUUAGUGUUUCUUUUUAUGCUUAUGAUCAGGCGGUUUGAUUCUACUUUAUUAUAUGAUUGGGAGGUUUGAGUCCCCCGUGCAUAUAUAUGAGACUAUUCUCCAGUUCAUGUGGCUACAUGCACUGGGGCCGGACCAGGGGUGAGAUAUUGGGCCCAUAUAUCACGUUGGUAUUAUUGUAUGACGGUUAAGAUACAUAGUCCAAGUUAAUAUUUUUAAACAUCCAUGUUAAACCUUAUUCCCG
This 290-nucleotide long non-coding RNA is filed under the name Capsicum annuum. Its description in RNAcentral is "long non-coding RNA (CANN_LNC002443)". Lineage: Eukaryota; Viridiplantae; Streptophyta; Magnoliopsida; Solanales; Solanaceae. The record is from RNAcentral.